CCUACGGGUGGCAGCAGUGAGGAAUAUUGGUCAAUGGACGCAAGUCUGAACCAGCCAUGCCGCGUGCAGGAAGACGGCCCUAUGAGUUGUAAACUGCUUUUGUACGGGGGUAAACGCAGAUACGUGUAUCUGUCUGACAGUAUCGUACGAAUAAGGAUCGGCUAACUCCGUGCCAGCAGCCGCGGUAAUACGGAGGAUUCGAGCGUUAUCCGGAUUUAUUGGGUUUAAAGGGUGCGUAGGCGGUCGGAUAAGUUAGCGGUGAAAUUCCGAGGCUCAACUUCGGAAUUGCCGUUGAUACUGUUCGGCUUGAGAGUAGUAGAGGUAGGCGGAAUGCGUGGUGUAGCGGUGAAAUGCGUAGAGAUCAUGCAGAACACCGAUUGCGAAGGCAGCUUACCGGGCUACUACUGACGCUGAGGCACGAAAGCGUGGGGAGCAAACAGGAUUAGAUACCCCUGUAGUC
Molecule: ribosomal RNA, 460 nt
Filed under: uncultured bacterium
Lineage: Bacteria
Description: partial 16S ribosomal RNA
Rfam family: Bacterial small subunit ribosomal RNA
Source: RNAcentral